CCAGCAUUUGAAGGAGGUGGAGGAACCUAGUGAUUCGGGCAGCUGGGCGCCUUUACACCCAGGCCCUGGGGAGGCCGAGCUGGAACAAUGGAAGGAUAAGUCAGAAGCUAAUCACAUGGUUACUUACAGAGGUGUGGGGAGAAAGGAGUGAGCAGUGGAGCCACUGGAGGUGUACACAAUGAACCUGCACUGCAUGGAGAUGUACGUGCAGAGGUGUGAACACAUACACUGGUACCUUAUGCCCACCAACCUGGAGGAGCUGA
Myotis lucifugus (little brown bat) is the source of this 263-nucleotide long non-coding RNA. RefSeq lists it as uncharacterized. The transcript is spliced from 3 exons. NCBI's taxonomy places the organism in Eukaryota, Metazoa, Chordata, Mammalia, Chiroptera, Vespertilionidae. The record is from RefSeq and is a predicted model, not a curated record.